This 951-nucleotide unclassified non-coding RNA is filed under the name Bombus terrestris (buff-tailed bumblebee). Its description in RNAcentral is "misc RNA ENSBTSG00005033391.1". Lineage: Eukaryota; Metazoa; Arthropoda; Insecta; Hymenoptera; Apidae. The record is from RNAcentral.
AUCAAACUUAAUACGUCACUGUAGAUAUUAAUGAUUCCAUAAUUCGCGCAAAUUAACUAUCAAUGCUUCUCUUAAAAAUUGCUACGCAUAUAAAUUCGAACGAUAUUUAUUUUAUAUUUACUUACUUGAAAUUUCAUCGAUAUUUGUAUUGUAUUGUAUAUAAAAUUAGAUAAAAAUCUCUACGAAACAUUAGUAAUAAUUAUCUUCUUAAAUCUUAUUAAUUUAUCAAACGGGGAACGGAUUUUUAUAUCAAAUAAAAUACAACCGAUAAGAAUAAAGGAAUUGCACGUUUCGUGUUUAUGUUACGCGAACCUUUUUACUUUAUCAAACGAGUAUCACCUAAAUUGAGUCCAGACACAACAAGCUACCGAUUCCAAACGUCGAUGUUGCAUACAGCUUUUGACAUUCGCUGUGUAGCUAUUUGUAUCGGUAUUUGAAUAACAAAUGUUUGUCGGUGGAGGCGUCCCUUUUGUUUCAUUCUUCGGUCCUUCCACUCCCUUUCCUACCGAAAUAUACGCCGCAUAAAAGAACAGGGCUGAGUUAUGGCAGUCGGUCCCGCGGAUAGAGCCUUCAGGGAUUACAAUCGAAAAUUCAGCUGGUCGAAAAACGCGAAUAAACGUUAAAGGAUGACGUAACCGCGAGAAAAAGGACAACAACUAUGCUUCGUUGAAUGAAACGUUAAAGAUACUUUAUUCAGAAUCGUUUUGGAAUCAGGAGAAGGAAAUUUCUGUUGAUUCGGCAAACCGUGACAUAAAUUGUUUCAUGUUGUGAAACACCGUGAUGCGGCUUCAGUCAGUGACGUUUUACGCUGAAAUAUCGUUUUAAUCUUUAAACUGGUAUGGUGAGAUUCUAUAGUCUACACUCUAGACGGUGUAAACGUUGCGAUAAGUUUCCUCUUUUAACUCAGCCACUUGUUCUUGAAUUUCUAUUUCUAUGUUUCGUUUUUACUCU